This 510-nucleotide ribosomal RNA is filed under the name uncultured bacterium. Its description in RNAcentral is "partial 16S ribosomal RNA". It matches the Rfam family "Bacterial small subunit ribosomal RNA", at positions 28 to 507 of the family's 1533-position model. The record is from RNAcentral.
GACGAACGCUGGCGGCGUGCUUAACACAUGCAAGUCGAACGAAGAGCGAUGGAAGCUUGCUUCUAUCAAUCUUAGUGGCGAACGGGUGAGUAACGCGUAAUCAACCUGCCCUUCAGAGGGGGACAACAGUUGGAAACGACUGCUAAUACCGCAUACGAUCUAAUCUCGGCAUCGAGGAUAGAUGAAAGGUGGCCUCUACAUGUAAGCUAUCACUGAAGGAGGGGAUUGCGUCUGAUUAGCUAGUUGGAGGGGUAACGGCCCACCAAGGCGAUGAUCAGUAGCCGGUCUGAGAGGAUGAACGGCCACAUUGGGAAUGAGACAAGGCCCAGACUCCUACGGGAGGCAGCAGUGGGGAAUCUUCCGCAAUGGACGAAAGUCUGACGGAGCAACGCCGCGUGAGUGAUGACGGCCUUCGGGUUGUAAAGCUCUGUUAAUCGGGACGAAAGGCCUUCUUGCGAAUAGUGAGAAGGAUUGACGGUACCGGAAUAGAAAGCCACGGCUAACUACGUG